This 460-nucleotide ribosomal RNA is filed under the name uncultured bacterium. Its description in RNAcentral is "partial 16S ribosomal RNA". It matches the Rfam family "Bacterial small subunit ribosomal RNA", at positions 338 to 795 of the family's 1533-position model. The record is from RNAcentral.
CCUACGGGUGGCAGCAGUGAGGAAUCUUGGUCAAUGGACGAGAGUCUGAACCAGCCAAGUAGCGUGAAGGAUGACUGCCCUAUGGGUUGUAAACUUCUUUUAUAUGGGACUAAAAUGUUCCACGUGUGGGAUUUUGUAUGUACCAUAUGAUUCAGGAUCGGCUAACUCCGUGCCAGCAGCCGCGGUAAUACGGAGGAUCCGAGCGUUAUCCGGAUUUAGUGGGUUUAAAGGGAGCGUAGGUGGAUUGUUAAGUCAGUUGUGAAAGUUUGCGGCUCAACCGUAAAAUUGCAGUUGAAACUGGCAGUCUUGAGUACAGUAGAGGUGGGCGGAAUGCGUGGUGUAGCGGUGAAAUGCAUAGAUAUCACGCAGAACCCCGAUGGCGAAGGCAGCGCGCCGGCGCCCGACUGACGCUGAGGCACGAAAGCGUGGGUAUCGAACAGGAUUAGAUACCCUAGUAGUC